GAUGAACGCUGGCGGCGUGCCUAAUACAUGCAAGUCGAGCGAACGGACGAGAAGCUUGCUUCUCUGAUGUUAGCGGCGGACGGGUGAGUAACACGUGGAUAACCUACCUAUAAGACUGGGAUAACUUCGGGAAACCGGAGCUAAUACCGGAUAAUAUUUUGAACCGCAUGGUUCAAAAGUGAAAGACGGUCUUGCUGUCACUUAUAGAUGGAUCCGCGCUGCAUUAGCUAGUUGGUAAGGUAACGGCUUACCAAGGCAACGAUGCAUAGCCGACCUGAGAGGGUGAGCGGCACCACUGGACCUGAAACCGGGCCCAGCCCCCGACGGGGGGCACAAUGGGGGAUUUUUCCGAAAUGGCGGAAAGCCGGACGGCGCAACGCCGCGUGAGUGAUGAAGGUCUUCGGAUCGAAAAACUCUUUUAUGGGGGAAAAAAAUAUGGGUAAGUAUAUGUGCACACCUGGAGGGUACCUAAUCAGAAAGCCCCGGCUAACGACG
Molecule: ribosomal RNA, 495 nt
Filed under: uncultured bacterium
Lineage: Bacteria
Description: partial 16S ribosomal RNA
Rfam family: Bacterial small subunit ribosomal RNA
Source: RNAcentral